Molecule: ribosomal RNA, 283 nt
Filed under: uncultured Acidobacteriota bacterium
Lineage: Bacteria; Pseudomonadati; Acidobacteriota
Description: uncultured Acidobacteria bacterium partial 16S ribosomal RNA
Rfam family: Bacterial small subunit ribosomal RNA
Source: RNAcentral
CAAGUCGACGAGAACCGGAGCAAGGAUAAGUACAGUGGCGCAUCGGUGAGUAACAAAAAACUAACCUACCCUUGAGUGGGGGAUAACUGAGGGAAACCUUACCUAAUACCGCAUAAUACCUACGGGUCAAAGGAGCAAUUCGCUUAAGGAGGGGGUCGCGGCCGAUUAGUUAGUUGGCGGGGUAAUGGCCCACCAAGACGAUGAUCGGUAUCCGGCCUGAGAGGGCGCACGGACACACUGGAACUGAAACACGGUCCAGACUCCUACGGGAGGCAGCAGUGGG